Molecule: ribosomal RNA, 492 nt
Filed under: uncultured bacterium
Lineage: Bacteria
Description: partial 16S ribosomal RNA
Rfam family: Bacterial small subunit ribosomal RNA
Source: RNAcentral
AGUGAACGCUGGCGGUAGGCCUAACACAUGCAAGUCGAACGGCAGCACAGUAAGAGCUUGCUCUUACGGGUGGCGAGUGGCGGACGGGUGAGGAAUACAUCGGAAUCUACUUUUUCGUGGGGGAUAACGUAGGGAAACUUACGCUAAUACCGCAUACGACCUACGGGUGAAAGCAGGGGAUCUUCGGACCUUGCGCGAUUGAAUGAGCCGAUGUCGGAUUAGCUAGUUGGCGGGGUAAAGGCCCACCAAGGCGACGAUCCGUAGCUGGUCUGGGAGGAUGAUCAGCCACACUGGAACUGAGACACGGUCCAGACUCCUACGGGAGGCAGCAGUGGGGAAUAUUGGACAAAGGGCGCAAGCCUGAUCCAGCCAUACCGCGUGGGUGAAGAGGGCCUUCGGGUUGUAAAGCCCUUUUGUUGGGAAAGAAAAGCAGCAGGUUAAUACCCCGCUGUUCUGACGGUACCCAAAGAAUAAGCACCGGCUAACUUCGUG